RNAcentral lists this long non-coding RNA (302 nucleotides) under Elaeis guineensis (African oil palm). Its description in RNAcentral is "long non-coding RNA (EGUI_LNC012488)". Lineage: Eukaryota; Viridiplantae; Streptophyta; Magnoliopsida; Arecales; Arecaceae. The record is from RNAcentral.
GAAUUUUUUUCUCUCUUUCAUUUUUCUUUUUUUCUUUUGCUCUCUCUCUCUCCCCCCUUCCCAUUCUACAACGAGGGUUUUUCUAAUAGCAUAGAAAAUCUGAGAAGAGAGGAUGUCCCAACAUAAGCACAGCCAGGGUGGUGCCAGGCAGUGGUGUCACGGUCGGAGUGGUCAGGUGAUGGAGGCAUGGUCGGUGGCUCGGUCAUACACAGAAAAGCCAAGAGAGAGGGAGGAAGAGGCCUUGCCCCUUGCCGCCUUCGUGGCAGCACCCAAGACCAAAAAGAGAAACAAGGGGAGGAGGA